RNAcentral lists this ribosomal RNA (567 nucleotides) under uncultured archaeon. RNAcentral describes it as "bacterial SSU rRNA". It matches the Rfam family "Archaeal small subunit ribosomal RNA", at positions 317 to 889 of the family's 1478-position model. The record is from RNAcentral.
GUGAUUCGGGGUGCAGCAGGCGCGAAACCUUUACACUGCGGGCAACCGCGAUAAGGGGACCCCGAGUGCCAGCACCUAGUGCUGGCUGUCCCGCUGUCUAAACAACAGUGGUUAGCAAGGGCCGGGCAAGACCGGUGCCAGCCGCCGCGGUAACACCGGCGGCCCGAGUGGUAGCCGCUAUUAUUGGGUUUAAAGGGUCCGUAGCCGGCCUGUUAAGUCUCUUGGGAAAUCUGGCGGCUCAAUCGUCAGGCGGCCAAGAGAUACUGACAGGCUUGGGACCGGGAGAGGUGGGAGGUACUCCAUGGGUAGGGGUGAAAUCUCGUAAUCCUUGGGGGACCACCGAUGGCGAAGGCAUCCCACCAGAACGGGUCCGACGGUGAGGGACGAAAGCUGGGGGCACGAACCGGAUUAGAUACCCGGGUAGUCCCAGCCUUAAACGAUGCUCGCUAGGUGUCAGGUGCGGUGCGACCGCAUCUGGUGCCGCAGUGAAAACUUGAAGCGAGUCACCUGGGAAGUACGGUCGCAAGGCUGAAACUUAAAGGAAUUGGCGGGGGAGCACAAUCGAAU